Non-coding RNA from Sesamum indicum (sesame), 522 nucleotides. The record is from RefSeq and is a predicted model, not a curated record. NCBI's taxonomy places the organism in Eukaryota, Viridiplantae, Streptophyta, Magnoliopsida, Lamiales, Pedaliaceae.
CUCUCCCUCUCCCUCUCUCUCUCUUCCCUCUUCCCUCUCCCUCCCUGCUCCUUCAUUUUCACCGCCUUGCUACUUAUCGCCGCCUGGGCCACCCUCCUUCCUCUUCUCUUUUUCUCUUUUCAUUCUAUUCUCCUCUUUUCAGUUUGUUUCUUCUGCAGCCGUUGACCCGUCACUGUCUCGACCAUUCGCCACCUCAGCCGGCUUCCUUCCUCUUCUCUUUUUCUUUUUCUUCUCUUCUCUUUUUCUUUUUCCUUUCUCUUCUCCUCUUCUUCUCUUCUCUCUUUCUUUCCAUCGCCGCCGUCUCUCUGCCGCCCCAGAUUUUUUUUCUGACUCCAUCAUCAUUCAGGGAUUCAGAAGAAGAUAUUAGCGAAUCAGAAGAUACUUUCGGUGAUAAUAAUUCGUCAUCCCAUUCCAACCAGUCACCUUGAGAAGAUUGUGAAAAUGAAUUUGAUCCCCUUUUGUAAUUAUGAAUACUUUAAAUUAUAUGACAUUUAUUUUGUGGAUUGUAUUGAAUUAUUUUUA